Molecule: ribosomal RNA, 393 nt
Filed under: Micrathena forcipata
Lineage: Eukaryota; Metazoa; Arthropoda; Arachnida; Araneae; Araneidae
Description: partial 16S ribosomal RNA
Rfam family: Bacterial large subunit ribosomal RNA
Source: RNAcentral
CAUCUGCUCAAUGAAUAUUUAAAUAGCCGCGGAAUUUUUACCGUGCUAAGGUAGCAUAAUCAUUAGUCCUUUAAUUAAGGACUUGUAUGAAAGAUGUAACAUUUCAAUACCUUUUUUAAUACUUAUUAUUUAAAUUAAAUUAAAAAUUAAAAUAUUUUUAUAAUUAUAAUAGACGACAAGACCCUACUGAACUUAACUUUUGUUUCGCUGGGGCAGCGAAAAAAAAACCAUUUUUUUAUGUAAAAAUUCAAUUAAUGACCCAAUAUAAUUGAUUAUUUGUUCAAGUUACCAUAGGGAUAACAGCGUAAUUUUCUUUUGAAGUUCUUAUUUAAAAGAAAGAUUGCGACCUCGAUGUUGAAUUAAUGAAACUUUUUAUUAAUGCAACCAUUAAAA